UUAACUCAAAUUUGUAUGGAGUUGGAAUGUUUGCCUACGUUUACCUCUAGGAUCGUUGUUCCAACUUCAUACAAAUUCGAGUUA
This is a non-coding RNA of Bombyx mori (domestic silkworm), 84 nucleotides long. Lineage: Eukaryota; Metazoa; Arthropoda; Insecta; Lepidoptera; Bombycidae. The record is from Rfam.